RNAcentral lists this ribosomal RNA (841 nucleotides) under Microbacterium schleiferi. Its description in RNAcentral is "bacterial SSU rRNA". It matches the Rfam family "Bacterial small subunit ribosomal RNA", at positions 380 to 1232 of the family's 1533-position model. Lineage: Bacteria; Bacillati; Actinomycetota; Actinomycetes; Micrococcales; Microbacteriaceae. The record is from RNAcentral.
AGCCUGAUGCAGCAACGCCGCGUGAGGGACGACGGCCUUCGGGUUGUAAACCUCUUUUAGCAGGAAAGAAGCGAAAGUGACGGUACCUGCAGAAAAAGCGCCGGCUAACUACGUGCCAGCAGCCGCGGUAAUACGUAGGGCGCAAGCGUUAUCCGGAAUUAUUGGGCGUAAAGAGCUCGUAGGCGGUCUGUCGCGUCUGCUGUGAAAACCCGAGGCUCAACCUCGGGCCUGCAGUGGGUACGGGCAGACUAGAGUGCGGUAGGGGAGAUUGGAAUUCCUGGUGUAGCGGUGGAAUGCGCAGAUAUCAGGAGGAACACCGAUGGCGAAGGCAGAUCUCUGGGCCGUAACUGACGCUGAGGAGCGAAAGGGUGGGGAGCAAACAGGCUUAGAUACCCUGGUAGUCCACCCCGUAAACGUUGGGAACUAGUUGUGGGGUCCAUUCCACGGAUUCCGUGACGCAGCUAACGCAUUAAGUUCCCCGCCUGGGGAGUACGGCCGCAAGGCUAAAACUCAAAGGAAUUGACGGGGACCCGCACAAGCGGCGGAGCAUGCGGAUUAAUUCGAUGCAACGCGAAGAACCUUACCAAGGCUUGACAUAUACGAGAACGGGCCAGAAAUGGUCAACUCUUUGGACACUCGUAAACAGGUGGUGCAUGGUUGUCGUCAGCUCGUGUCGUGAGAUGUUGGGUUAAGUCCCGCAACGAGCGCAACCCUCGUUCUAUGUUGCCAGCACGUAAUGGUGGGAACUCAUGGGAUACUGCCGGGGUCAACUCGGAGGAAGGUGGGGAUGACGUCAAAUCAUCAUGCCCCUUAUGUCUUGGGCUUCACGCAUGCUACAAUG